AUUGAACGCUGGCGGCAGGCUUAACACAUGCAAGUCGAGCGGAGAUGAGGUGCUUGCACCUUAUCUUAGCGGCGGACGGGUGAGUAAUGCUUAGGAAUCUGCCUAUUAGUGGGGGACAACAUUCCGAAAGGAAUGCUAAUACCGCAUACGUCCUACGGGAGAAAGCAGGGGAUCUUCGGACCUUGCGCUAAUAGAUGAGCCUAAGUCGGAUUAGCUAGUUGGUGGGGUAAAGGCCUACCAAGGCGACGAUCUGUAGCGGGUCGGAGAGGAUGAUCCGCCACACUGGGACUGAGACACGGCCUAGACUCCUACGGGAGGCAGCAGUGGGGAAUAUUGGACAAUGGGGGGAACCCUGAUCCAGCCAUGCCGCGUGUGUGAAGAAGGCCUUAUGGUUGUAAAGCACUUUAAGCGAGGAGGAGGCUACUGAGACUAAUACUCUUGGAUAGUGGACGUUACUCGCAGAAUAAGCACCGGCUAACUCUGUGCCAGCAGCCGCAGUAA
This 501-nucleotide ribosomal RNA is filed under the name uncultured bacterium. Its description in RNAcentral is "partial 16S ribosomal RNA". It matches the Rfam family "Bacterial small subunit ribosomal RNA", at positions 30 to 523 of the family's 1533-position model. The record is from RNAcentral.